CUCAGAGGGAACGUUCGGGAAUGGCCAGGGGGUUCAAUCAAAGCUGGUCUGCUCAGCCCCCCUUCUCUGAAGCAGAUCCUGAAAUGGAGACGCUUGUUGGAGUGCUUCCUGGGAUCCUACUGCUGCUGCUAAUCAUGGGGGCGUCCAUGGGAGCGCAGUGGCUGGCGGGGGAGACUGCGGAAGGAGAAGGAGCCGCCAGCCGCUCAGCCCCCCCGGGAACACCCGCCUCGGCCGGGCCCUGACGCUGGAGGUGGCCUCGGAGCAAGAACGCGGUGUUCCGAGCCGUCCGAGGUCGCACGGCGGGGUUGGUAGUAGCUGCCUGUUACUGAUCAUUGCUGGUUCGCCUCCCCGUCCCGCCUGUCUUUUCUGCCCUCCUCGCACUUCUGUGACUAGUCCUUGACGAGUCAUCAGACCGGUUAAGAAAGGUCAGAAAUCACUAAUUCCUUAGACUGCUUUGUUCCGCUUGAAGGCCAUCGGUCCUGGGAGGCCCCCGUUCUCCAUUAAGUGCUCAAGUGUGUGUACUCAUCAGGAAGAAAUGGAACAGAGAGGCCAUCACUCAGAUUCAGCAAUGACCUGACAACAUGGGCCGUGCACACAAUCCAUUCCAAAUACCAAUAAACACGUAAUUAUGGCAUCGGAGGCCGGCAGGACUCAGCCAGCUUGGGUGGAGACUGCAGUUCUAAGCCAUCUCCAGAAACACAUGGGAAGGCUGAAGCCUCUGUGUUUUGAACUUCAAGGCUGCCACAUACUGAACAGUCAUUUCCAUGUGGAUGUGCCACAGCAUUAGAAUUGUUUGGAAAUAUGCAUUGGAUACUUACUCUUCAGGCAGCUCCUCUCCAGUGCCACUGCCUCUAUCUCAGGGCUCUUCCCUUCUGGUCUGGACCCCUCCCCGCUUCCUGCUGGGUCUCCUGCUGCCAGAAUACCCCUCGUCUCCCCCAGGUCCCUCCAAGCCACCCUACACGGCAUCGUGAGAACCGCCCGUCCCAAAUGCUUAGCCGGCCGAGUCACUCACCCACCUGAUGCCCUGGAAUAACUCCCCAUUGCUCACAGGAUAAUUUCCUGAUUCUUUAGCACAGCGCUCAAGGUUACUGCAUGGUCUGCCCCCUGACUACCCCCCUCGGUCGACAUGAACCAUUCCCUCUCAACGUGGGCUUUAAACACAACUUUUCUCAUGUUUCUGCCACUGCACCUGCUCAGCUACCCCUCCGUAUCUUGGCUCAUGCUCCUCCUCCCUCCUAGAAUACUCUUUCUUUUCUUUUCCUUCUGGGGCUACCUCCUCCCUCCCUCCCCCCUCCCCCACUCAAUUUUAAGAUAAAAUAUUUGGUAUCUAAGAGAUGUCUCGUCCUACUGAGCUUAAGAAACGAAGUAUCCCGAUGCAGUCAAACCUCUCUGUACUUCCCAAUCCCACAGCUCUUCCUCCCUUCCCCCCAGGUAGCCGCUAUUUUGAGUUCAGGGUUUUAUCAUUUCUUUAAGGAUCUGUAUACAUUCACGUGCGUGCUCAUCCCUAAGCCAGACACGCUGUUGCUGAGAAUGUUUUAAGACCUCGUAUAACUCUACUCCUGAAACCAGUGCUACACUCUCUGUCAGCUAACUUGAAUUUAAAAAAAUAAAUAAAUACAAACCCUUAUAUAGAUGAUGUCAUAUUCUAUGUAUUCUCCAGCAACUUGCAACUUUUGCCUACUCUCGUGUUUUUGAGAGGUUCCGUGUUGUAAGCCUUAGUCAAUUCACUCUCAGUCCUGUCCGAUGUGCCGGUGUAUGUGAAGGCGUGUAUGUGUUUACAUCGGUUCUCUUAUUGAGGGCAUUCAAGUUGCUUCUAAUUUCUCUUCUUCCUUCCCUCCCUCCCUUUCUUCCUUCUUUUCCUCUCUCCCUCUCUUUCUCUCUCUCUUCUCUCACAAACCUUACUGCUGUGAACACCAUCCACAUAUCUCCUUAUGCAUAUGGGCAAGAGCUCUUCAAGGGUACCAUGAUCAUGCAGAAAUGGAACUGAAAAUCAGAGGGCAAGUAAAAUUUUCAAUUGUACUAGGUGUUGUCAAAUAAUUUGCCGGAACGGUUGGAGUCGUUUAUGUGGCUCAUCAGUGGCCCAUAAAGAAAAUCCCCUUCAGUCUACAUGGUUGCCUCAACUCUCUAACAACACAUUUAAAAGAUUUGGGGACAAUCUCGUUAUGCUUGUGAUUUGGCAUUCCCUGAUUAUAAGUGGACUGUCAUGUUUCCCAUUGUGUGAAACGUCUGGGUAACUUUUGCUCGUAUUUCUUUUAUUCUUCUAAGGAUUUUUGUAAAUGAUUGGAAAAAAAUCAAAAAUAUAUUUUGGAUAAGAAUCUGUUUUGGGUUAUAUAUAUUGCUAAUAUCUUUUCCCUGUUUGUGGUUUGUCUUUUUCUGCUUAUGGUAUCUUUGAUUAGCAGGAAUGUUUCAAGUUUUGUCGAAUUAUUCUAUUUUUUUCUCCUAGUGUUUCUGCUUAUGUCUUUUUUCCUCCAUGUAAUCUGAGGCAAGGAUCAGAUUUCUUUCCACCUGGAUAACCAAUUCCCGAGCGCCAUUUAUCAGUCAACCCUUUCUUUACUUUAUGCCAACUUUUCCAGUUGAAUAAAAGCAGUGAUCAUAGACA
Molecule: long non-coding RNA, 2599 nt
Organism: Felis catus (domestic cat)
Lineage: Eukaryota; Metazoa; Chordata; Mammalia; Carnivora; Felidae
Exons: 4
Source: RefSeq, a predicted model, not a curated record